This 1322-nucleotide ribosomal RNA is filed under the name metagenome. RNAcentral describes it as "bacterial LSU rRNA". It matches the Rfam family "Bacterial large subunit ribosomal RNA", at positions 1582 to 2925 of the family's 2925-position model. The record is from RNAcentral.
UGUACCGAAGUCUGAGAUGGAAGAUGGCGAGAAAAGCUGUGUGUAUUUCUGCGGUGCCCGUACCGCAAACCGACACAGGUAGGUAGGAAGAAGAUUCUAAGGCCAACGGGAGAAGGGUUGUUAAGGAACUCGGCAAAUUGACCCCGUAACUUCGGGAGAAGGGGUGCUGCAGCGAUGCAGCCGCAGAGAAUCGGCCCAAGCAACUGUUUACCAAAAACACAGGUUUGUGCUAAAUCGAAAGAUGACGUAUACGAGCUGACGCCUGCCCGGUGCUGGAAGGUUAAGAGGAGAUGUGCAAGCAUUGAAUCGAAGCCCCAGUGAACGGCGGCCGUAACUAUAACGGUCCUAAGGUAGCGAAAUUCCUUGUCAGGUAAGUUCUGACCCGCAUGAAAGGCGUAAUGAUUUGGGCACUGUCUCAACAGCCCGCCCGGCGAAAUUGUAGUACCGGUGAAGAUGCCGGUUACCCGCGACAAGACGGAAAGACCCCAUGGAGCUUUACUGUAGCCUAAUAUUGGGUUUCGAUGUUGCAUGCACAGGAUAGAUGGGACUCUUGGAAACGAUUGCUUUGGCGGUCGCGGAGAGGCCGUUGGGAUACCAUCCUUGCGAUAUUGGAAUUCUAACCUGCGCCUUUGAAUCAAGGCGGGGGACAUUGUUAGGUGGGCAGUUUGACUGGGGCGGUCGCCUCCUAAAGAGUAACGGAGGCGUUCAAAGGUUCGCUCAGCUUGAACGGAAAUCAAGCAAAAGAGUGCAAACGCAGAAGCGAGCCUAACUGCGAGACUGACGGGUCGAGCAGUAACGAAAGUUGGAGUUAGUGAUCCGGUGGUGUGUGAGUGGAAAUGCCAUCGCUCAACGGAUAAAAGUUACCCUGGGGAUAACAGGCUGAUCUCCCCCAAGAGUCCACAUCGACGGGGAGGUUUGGCACCUCGAUGUCGGCUCAUCGCAUCCUGGGGCUGUAUUCGGUCCCAAGGGUUUGGCUGUUCGCCAAUUAAAGCGGUACGCGAGCUGGGUUCAGAACGUCGUGAGACAGUUCGGUCCCUAUCUGUCGUGGGCGCAGGAUAUUUGAUGGGAGCUGUUCCUAGUACGAGAGGACCGGAGCGGACGUACCUCUGGCGCACCAGUUGUUCUGCCAAGAGCAUAGCUGGGCAACUAUGUACGGAUCGGAUAAACGCUGAAAGCAUCUAAGCGUGAAGCCGACCCAAAGAUAAGAUAUCCCAUUGUUUCAAACAAGUAAGACCCCUUGAAGACUACAAGGUUGAUAGGCACGAUGUGUAAGUGGAGUGAUCCAUUCAGCAAGCGUGUACUAAUAGGUCGAGGGCUUGAGC